GGAAUCCACGCGACUUUCUGGAAUUUGGUCUGGCCCUGUGGUUUGGAAACUGUUGGAGCAAUGGAAUCCUCCAUCUAUCUGUCUGUCUAGCUCGCUGGCCAGUUCACAGUGUCACUGUGCGGGGCUGGGGAGGGGCUGUGAUUGGGGUUUGGGGCUGUGUUGCGUGACCAGGCAACUUCCUCCGGCUCCUCCUUCUUAGGGCAGUCAGGGCAGGAAGGCUUUCGCUUUCGAAGGCUCCAGAAAAACGCAUUGGUUUCGCAGGGAAGCUGGGCUCGGUACUGCGAUAGGUGAAGAGUCAAUCAUGAGCUGGUUCCAGAAACAGCUAGGCUGGAACACGAAGAACUAUAGCAGCAGCCAGGGGCUACAAAUGCCCAUAGGCAUCCCCAUUGCACUUGGAGUCCUGGCCCUCCUCGCCCUGCUGGCCCUGGCCUGUAACUGCCUCGCAGAGGCCUGGAAAUCCAAAUGGAGGCCCUGCUGCCAGAGGUGGUGGCACCUUCGCCCUGGAGAUGACCUGCAGCUUCUUCAGAGAGAUGACUUCUGCCAUGGCUGUGCGAACUUGGAAGAGGACCCUGCACUGACCGCAGCCUGAGACACUUUGGGCAGAGGACCCCUGUCUGCUCUCUCAGACCCCUGGGCCACCAAAUGUGUGAGAUAAUAAAUGGACAUUUUAAGUCGCCAAGUGUGUGAUGAUGUUUUGGGCAGCAAAGUGUAUGCCAGAGAGGACAGGC
RNAcentral lists this long non-coding RNA (728 nucleotides) under Cavia porcellus (domestic guinea pig). Its description in RNAcentral is "lncRNA (ENSCPOG00000040499.1)". Lineage: Eukaryota; Metazoa; Chordata; Mammalia; Rodentia; Caviidae. The record is from RNAcentral.